RNAcentral lists this long non-coding RNA (216 nucleotides) under Mytilus galloprovincialis (Mediterranean mussel). Lineage: Eukaryota; Metazoa; Mollusca; Bivalvia; Mytilida; Mytilidae. The record is from RNAcentral.
AUAUUCCACCAAAUUUUCUAGCAAACUCCAUCUUUUCAACCAACUCUGGAGUGAUCAAUCCCUUUAGGUAAAUCUGGGCUGCGUUUCUAGAAAUAUCACAUAACUACUGAUUGCAUUCACAACACUUCACCAAUACCAUCACAUACACUAUAUCUCAACACAUGAAUAAUCUUAUUCAUAAAAAAUAAAAAUAACUAGUGAUACACAUUUGAACAC